Molecule: ribosomal RNA, 460 nt
Filed under: uncultured bacterium
Lineage: Bacteria
Description: partial 16S ribosomal RNA
Rfam family: Bacterial small subunit ribosomal RNA
Source: RNAcentral
CCUACGGGUGGCAGCAGUGAGGAAUAUUGGUCAAUGGACGAGAGUCUGAACCAGCCAAGUAGCGUGAAGGAUGACUGCCCUAUGGGUUGUAAACUUCUUUUAUAUGGGAAUAAAACAGGGUAUGCAUACCCCCUUGUAUGUACCAGAUGAAUAAGGAGCGGCUAACUCCGGGCCAGCAGCCGCGGUAAUACGGAGGAUCCGAGCGUUAGCCGGAUUUAUUGGGUUUAAAGGGAGCGUAGGUGGAUUGGUAAGUCAGUUGUGAAAGUUUGCGGCUCAACCGUAAAAUUGCAGUUGAAACUGGCAGUCUUGAGUACAGUAGAGGUGGGCGGAAUUCGUGGUGUAGCGGUGAAAUGCUUAGAUAUCACGAAGAACUCUGAUUGCGAAGGCAGCUCCCUGGACUGCAACUGACACUGAUGCUCGAAAGUGUGGGGAUCAAACAGGAUUAGAUACCCCAGUAGUC